This 403-nucleotide ribosomal RNA is filed under the name uncultured bacterium. RNAcentral describes it as "partial 16S ribosomal RNA". It matches the Rfam family "Bacterial small subunit ribosomal RNA", at positions 30 to 526 of the family's 1533-position model. The record is from RNAcentral.
AUUGAACGCUGGCGGCAGGCCUAACACAUGCAAGUCGAGCGAGCGGCGGACGGGUGAGUAAUGUAUGGGGACUGCCCGAUAGCGGGGGAUAACUACUGGAAACGGUGGCUAAUACCGCAUACUAUCGGAUAACCCAUAUGGGAUUAGCUAGUGGGUGGGGUAAAGGCUCACCUAGGCGACGAUCUCUAGCUGGUCUGAGAGGAUGAUCAGCCAAACUGGGACUGAGACACGGCCCAGAAGCCUACGGAGGCAGCAGUGGGGAAGAUUGCACAAUGGGCGCAAGCCUGAUGAAGCCAUGACGCGUGUAUGAAGAAGGCCUUAGGGUUGUAAAGUACUUUCGGUCGGGAGGCGUUACCGACAGAAGAAGCACCGGCUAACUCCGUGCCAGCAGCCGCGGUAAUAC